AACAGGAUUAGAUACCCUGGUAGUCCACGCUGUAAACGAUGUCGACUUGGAGGUUGUGCCCUUGAGGCGUGGCUUCCGGAGCUAACGCGUUAAGUCGACCGCCUGGGGAGUACGGCCGCAAGGUUAAAACUCAAAUGAAUUGACAGGGGCCCGCACAAGCGGUGGAGCAUGUGGUUUAAUUCGAUGCAACGCGAAGAACCUUACCUACUCUUGACAUCCAGAGAAUUUGCUAGAGAUAGCUUAGUGCCUUCGGGAACUCUGAGACAGGUGCUGCAUGGCUGUCGUCAGCUCGUGUUGUGAAAUGUUGGGUUAAGUCCCGCAACGAGCGCAACCCUUAUCCUUUGUUGCCAGCGAGUAAUGUCGGGAACUCAAAGGAGACUGCCGGUGAUAAACCGGAGGAAGGUGGGGAUGACGUCAAGUCAUCAUGGCCCUUACGAGUAGGGCUACACACGUGCUACAAUGGCACAUACAAAGAGAAGCGAACUCGCGAGAGCAAGCGGACCUCAUAAAGUAUGUCGUAGUCCGGAUUGGAGUCUGCAACUCGACUCCAUGAAGUCGGAAUCGCUAGUAAUCGUAGAUCAGAAUGCUACGGUGAAUACGUUCCCGGGCCUUGUACACACCGCCCGUCACACCAUGGGAGUGGAUUGCAAAAGAAGUAGGUAGCUUAACCUUCGGGAGGGCGCUUACCACUUUGUGAUUCAUGACUGGGGUGAAGUCGUAACAAGGUAACC
RNAcentral lists this ribosomal RNA (731 nucleotides) under uncultured bacterium. Its description in RNAcentral is "bacterial SSU rRNA". It matches the Rfam family "Bacterial small subunit ribosomal RNA", at positions 771 to 1501 of the family's 1533-position model. The record is from RNAcentral.